CCCGCACAUGAUUGUUUCUCCUAGUAAAACUGUUUGGUAUCAAGCAGUCCAAGGGUGUGGGUGUGGUUCGCAUUUUCCUAACAUCAUUCUGGAAAUCGUCUUUUCAGGAAACUUAGAAAUCCAGAUGCGCCAACCAGCUUGCUCAAACUUGCACCAGAAUCUUGUGGAGUACACGUCAUAUCCAAAGGAAGAGUUCAGGCUUCCCGAUUAGCAAGCAGGUCUCAGAAAUCCGACCACAGCAAAAGCACAAACCCACACAAUUCACAGCAUCUGAAAGCGCUUCUGUCCACACGUACAUAUGAUAACUCGGAGAUUGAAGACAUAAGCAGGAGCAGGUAACAUGAAAUACACCGCAUUUCUUCUUGGUGGGCUACUAAUUAACUGAUGCAAAGUCAAAACUAACAUCUCCCUAAGUUCCUAGGCCCACUAUAUGAGUAUCAACCUUAGAACUACUGAAAUAUAUCACCAUGAUGUCUUAGACCUUGAGAGUUGAGACAGAAAAUGUAAGCAAGGCCUGUGACAUUUAUUGCAUUAUUUUCAUCCAUGGUUUAGAUGCAACAGAAUCUCAACAAGUUCCAUUUCUGAAAAUGUCACUUAAGGCUUCCCUAUUUCCAGGGGGAAUGAAUUUCAUAUAUCAUUGCCGAAAGUAAAUUAGAAUUAUCAACCAAUGUUAAUAUCAUAGUACUAAGAAACUAGGAUGAAAAAUGUGAAAUGAUCUCACCUUCUUCUCUAUGAAGAAUCUUGCUAAUAGUCCACUUCUUAAUUUCCUGGAUUGGGAUCUAAGCCUGUUGUUUUAGAACUCCACAAGUAUUUACUCACACCACUAGCAUUGAUGCAGAUCCACAUCCUCCCAUUUCAAUGGCUCGUCCUCACUAACUCGUACUAGCUCACACAGAACUGUUUCAAGCAGUAAAGGCAGAAGUAGUGGAAUAACUUCUGAUAGAGUCAGUGAUUCCUUUCAAGUAAGACCAUGUGAGAAUUUGAAGACAAAUAAACAAGUUACAUCACCUAAAGCUUCAAAGAGAAGUAAAAGACCAGAAUCUCUUCAUAGAAUUUCCAUACCAGAAAGAACAGAUUUUUCAGGGCCACCAAGUUGCGGAUCAACUGAUAUAUCUAGUCACGGUUCAGAAAGUACAGCUUACAAUUCCAGUUCUUUGGCCUCCCUGACUCCUGUGAGUAUAUUGUGAUAAAUUCAUUUAGGAAUUAUGUUUGUACAAACAUCAAAACAUACAAUGACUUCCUGAAAUAACUUGUUGGCUCAAGUUAUUAUGCAACAAGAUCCAAUUUCCAUCUUGUUUGAUUUGUUUUCUAGUAGAUCUAACAAUAUUUUUAUUGGCUGCUGACCUUCUGGGAUAGGUUUACAGCAAAGGAGUUCUCCAGAAUCUAAAAGCUUGCACAUCUAUUAUAUGUAGCCUUCAAUUAGUUUAGCUUAUUGAGCUUUUUUCUCUCUAAAAUGGAUGAAAUUCAAGAUAGCGUUACAUUACAAAUAUGUAAACUAUGAUUGCCUGAUUACCAUGAAUACAGUGACUGGUGCCUCUGAGGCGCUUCAGUCCAAAAUGAAUCUGUCUUCCUAUGGCCUAAAUAUAUCUUCCAAUUCUUUAUUUUAUGAGUCCGUUACCAUAUUAUUGAGACAUAUUUCAUCCUUUCCAUGGGUUACAUAGCGAGGCUUGGAGGUUGAGAUGAAGCGACUUCGAAAAGAAUUAAAGAGAUCCAUGGAUAUGUUUAAAUCAGUUUGCGAAGAAGCUGUUGUAGCAAAAGAUAAGGUAAGAUUGGAUGUUUAUGAUCAUAUGUGAUCUUAUCAAUAAAAACUUAGCAACAUACUUCCAGUUUUCUUGACCGGGCCUUUUCUUUUCCCAGCUGAAGAAGCUUCAGGAAUGGAAAGAAGCAGAAGAGCGCAAAUUAGAGGAAGCCAAGCUUUCUGAGGAGGCAGCAGUGGCUUUGGCAGAGGCAGAAAGGGAAAAAACCAAGGCUGCUAUGGACGCAGCACAGACAGCCCAACGUUUAGCAGAUAUGGAGGCACGGAAGAGAAAACUCGCAGAAUUGAAAGCCAAUCAGGAGGAAGAAGAAAAACAGAGAGCACUAGAUAAGCUGGUUAACAAUAAAGCUGCUUAUAGAAAAUACACCCUUGAUGACAUUGAAGCUGCGACAGAUUACUUCGCGAGUGCACAUAAGAUUGGUGAAGGAGGAUAUGGGCCGGUUUUUAAAGCCACCCUUGACCAUACUGCUGUAGCCAUCAAGAUCUUAAGGCCAGAUAUAUCACAAGGACAGAAGCAAUUCCAACAAGAGGUAACUAUGCUUGUUAAUCCUGUUUCCCAAGAACAAUUAAACUUCAUUGAAUUUUACGGUGUCCCAAAACAUUGGGUAUCUCUUUUCUUGGUGAAGAAGUUUGAAUCAUCUCUUAUAGUAAAACUCAAAGCUGCAUUAUAGGUAAUCUGUCAAUUGCAAUAUAUUUAAAAUCACAGCUUCUAUAUAUCACAAUAAGAAAUAAAAAAGUGCCAGAAAUGAAUGAGGCGGGCAUCAUUUGACAUUAUAAUGAUAGCUGAAUAUAAUAUCUGAAAUGAGUGAAGAAUAGCAAAGAAUGUUGAGUUAAUUUCAUUUUAAAUUUAUAGAAAUGUUCCUUUUAUAGCUUCUUUUAAACUUGUUCAUAGUCUUAUAAUUUAAGAUGGCAAUGACUUAUAAAAGCCUUUAAAAGCCCUGCCACCUAGAAAACCAACAAAUAUGAUGUCCACAGCAAUUUCUCUAGCCAAAUAGAGGGGAGAUAAAGAGUAUGGUCUUACCUUCAUGUGUUUAUAGUGGCAGAACUUAUCUGUCCUUCUUCCUCCCUUUCAUUUGUAUUAAAUAAAUUUGUAAUGUAGGUUGAGGUUCUAAGCUGCAUGAGACAUCCACACCUGGUUCUGCUCAUAGGUGCCUGCCCUGAGUAUGGAUG
This 2926-nucleotide long non-coding RNA is filed under the name Gossypium barbadense (sea-island cotton). RNAcentral describes it as "long non-coding RNA (GBAR_LNC004818)". Lineage: Eukaryota; Viridiplantae; Streptophyta; Magnoliopsida; Malvales; Malvaceae. The record is from RNAcentral.